Molecule: ribosomal RNA, 490 nt
Filed under: uncultured bacterium
Lineage: Bacteria
Description: partial 16S ribosomal RNA
Rfam family: Bacterial small subunit ribosomal RNA
Source: RNAcentral
GACGAACGCUGGCGGCGUGCUUAACACAUGCAAGUCGAGCGGUAAGGCCCUUCGGGGUACACGAGCGGCGAACGGGUGAGUAACACGUGGGUGACCUGCCCUCCACUUAGGGAUAAGCCUGGGAAACCGGGUCUAAUACCGGAUAGGACCUCCGCAUGCAUGUGCGGUGGUGGAAAGUUUUUCGGUGGAGGAUGGGCCCGCGGUCUAUACGCGUGUUGGUGGGGUGAUGGCCUACCAGGGCGACGACGGAUAGGCGGCCUGGGAGGGUGAUCGGCCACACUGGGACGGAGACACGGUCCCGACUCCUACGGGAGGCAGCCGUGGGGAAUCUUGCGCAAUGGGCGAAAGCCUGACGCAGCAACGCCGCGUGGGGGAUGACGGCCUUCGGGUUGUAAACCUCUUUCGCGAUCGACGAAGCUCGUACUUCUGGUACGGGUGACGGUAGGUCGAGAGGAAGCACCGGCCAACUACGUGCCAGCAGCCGCCGUAA